UCUCAAUUAACAUCUGAGGACCAGCUAAUGGCAGCUAAUCAGCUGCUAGUGAGUACACAUCGCCUGUGGUAUUCAAGGCUUUGCAGAUAAAAUCAGCUACAAAACAACAACCUGAGCACAACUGCUCCACCUUUUCAGACUAUAGGUUACGCCACUUGCUUUGUCAGCUUUGGAAUCAAGCCACUGACUGAGGUAAUGAUAUCACAUGAACAGACCCAGUGGAUGGGAGCUUCCCAGCAGGUGUGCGUGAACAGAUGACUGGAGGGCAGAGAGGGCCAGCACCUGGCACAGGAUGUGACCGCACAGAGGAAAGGCCACAUGAGGACACAGAGAAGAUGGCCGUCUGCAGGGCAAGGAGAGGCCUGAGGGGAAACCAGAGCUGCCCACGCCUGGAUCUCGGACGUCCAGCCUCCAAGAGCUACGAGCUGAGUGAGUAUCCAUAACUUGGAGACGCCGUGAUUCCGCACCACCUCCUGUAAAAGCACCUCCUUCGAAAGCACUGAGAUGACCCCCUCAGAAUCGUCGUGUUCCAUCUCCCAUCCUCUUCUGAGACAUCUGUUUUCAAGGAACUCAAGAGGAUUGGCACCAAACUGCAGAGCACAACCCAGAUAUGGAAUCAACCCAUUCUCCAGAGGUGGUUCACCCAUUUGCCUGUAAGACACAAAGAGAUGGGAUGUCACUUCUCGUUACUGUCCCACGUCCACACAUGGCUUCUGUCACACCCCUAACAUGCAGCCUCUAAGCUGGUGAGUGGGGAUUCGGAUGCUGGUUACAGUUGUCACAACUAUUAAUAGCCUGCAAGGAAAUACCUGCAAGGUUUCCUGGAGCAUCAUGGGGCUCCCGUGGACCAAGGCUCCUCCCAUGGAUCCCGU
Molecule: long non-coding RNA, 872 nt
Organism: Eubalaena glacialis (North Atlantic right whale)
Lineage: Eukaryota; Metazoa; Chordata; Mammalia; Artiodactyla; Balaenidae
Exons: 6
Source: RefSeq, a predicted model, not a curated record